CAGAGGGGGCAAGCGUUAUUCGGAAUUAUUGGGCGUAAAGGGCGCGUAGGCGGCUUUUCAAGUGACGGGUGAAAUCCCUCGGCUUAACCGAGGAACUGCCUGUCAGACUGGAAGGCUUGAGACCGGGAGAGGUGAGUGGAAUUCCCAGUGUAGCGGUGAAAUGCGUAGAUAUUGGGAGGAACACCAGUGGCGAAGGCGGCUCACUGGACCGGAACUGACGCUGAGGCGCGAAAGCGUGGGGAGCAAACAGGAUUAGAUACCCUGGUAGUCCACGCCGUAAACGAUGAGUGCUUGGUGUAGCGGGUAUCCGACCCCUGCUGUGCCGAAGUCAACACAUUAAGCACUCCGCCUGGGGAGUACGGUCGCAAGACUG
Molecule: ribosomal RNA, 373 nt
Filed under: uncultured organism
Description: bacterial SSU rRNA
Rfam family: Bacterial small subunit ribosomal RNA
Source: RNAcentral